This 477-nucleotide long non-coding RNA is filed under the name Chrysolophus pictus (golden pheasant). RNAcentral describes it as "lncRNA (ENSCPIG00010006094.1)". The record is from RNAcentral. Lineage: Eukaryota; Metazoa; Chordata; Aves; Galliformes; Phasianidae.
GAACCAUGGAUUUUUGUACAUCGCUGCUGCUUCUGGUGAAGGUGGGCUAACCUAUGGAGUGCUCACCCUCCUGCUUUUUAAUUGCUUCUGUGCUUUAAAAAAGGAAAUGGUUUUCAAUGAGCACCAAAUGAACAGCAAGAUGCAUAAUGGUUGAAAAAUGGAAUGGAUAUUUUACACCAAGAUCACUUGCCUGAACUGCAGUCUCUUUCUGUUACCUGGAUUGAGAUGAAGAAUACUUUGGAUGUACCCCAUAAAGGAGAAUUUGCCAUGCUGCUGUUCUGGCUGCAGCCUUCACGUGUUUGUAGAGUUUUACCCAACUCUGGGAUUGUCAGCAAUCCAGGCUGCACAACACAUAAAUGUAGCAGUGCCGGGAGCCAACAUGUUUGUGGAUUUAUUGGGAAUUGCAAAACACUGAAAUAUCCUGUUCCAGAAAGAAGACUAAUACAGGAGCAAGAGGUUAGAAAAAGCCUGUCAUGA